AUCAGUGAUGACAUCAUAGUGACAAGUACAAGGACAGUGAACACAAGAGGCUAUCGGAACACAUGAGAAAAACAAAACAAAACAGUAAGUUCAGCCUUAGAGAGAAUUCUUCUCAGAGAAAGUGACAUCUGUGGGUGAUUUGGUAGAGAACUACUCCAUGCCUUUAAGGGCACAAAUUGAAGCCCAUCUAUCUGGGUUCAAAUCCCAGCAUUACACACCAGAGACAGUUUGCCAACUUCUUGUUUCCAGUGAAGGCUCUAUUUUUUGUUAGAAAAUCCUUGUGAAAAUUCCACAUGCUGCCUCCAAAAUUUUGCAGGUUUCUCCCAAUGAAAAGUCAACCAGAUCAUCAAAGGACAGACAUUUUAUCCACCCCCUCGGGAUGAAAAUGAUUUUGGAAAAGCAUGAGACAAAUGAAAUAAGGAAAAACAA
Long non-coding RNA from Lutra lutra (Eurasian river otter), 429 nucleotides. RefSeq lists it as uncharacterized. NCBI's taxonomy places the organism in Eukaryota, Metazoa, Chordata, Mammalia, Carnivora, Mustelidae. The record is from RefSeq and is a predicted model, not a curated record. The transcript is spliced from 3 exons.